CCCGCACCCGCCGCCCCCCGGGCCCCCACUAGCGGCCGCCUCCGCUUCCCACCUCCGGCCCCCCGCCCCGAGCAGGGCCUGGGGGGCUCGGCCCUCCGCCCCGGGUAGCAAAGAAGGGGGGAUCCUGUCCCCCCAGUGGCGCAGCCAGUUCCCGGCCUCCGUGAUCUUGAGAGAGACCCCACCCCUCAGUUCUCUCCGGGCUCUGUCGGAGACCCCCUCUGCCCUCCCAUCCCGCUCACAUCCGCUCUCCAAGCUCUGUCACCCCCCAGAACCAGCUCCCUCCCUCCUUCCCUCUCCGGGGUUCCCCCUCCCCCAUCCCUCCGCCGCCCCCUCCCCC
RNAcentral lists this long non-coding RNA (337 nucleotides) under Marmota monax (woodchuck). Lineage: Eukaryota; Metazoa; Chordata; Mammalia; Rodentia; Sciuridae. The record is from RNAcentral.